RNAcentral lists this ribosomal RNA (851 nucleotides) under uncultured bacterium. RNAcentral's name for it is "bacterial SSU rRNA". It matches the Rfam family "Bacterial small subunit ribosomal RNA", at positions 48 to 908 of the family's 1533-position model. The record is from RNAcentral.
CUGAUAGCUGCAGUCGACGGGCUCGGCCGCAAGGCCGGGUCAGUGGCGCAAGGGUGAGUAAGGCGACGGUAACCAACCCCAUGGUCGGGCAUAGCCGCGGGAAACUGCGGGUAAUUCCCAGCGACGUGGACCUCGGGCAUCUGAGGACCACCAAAGCUCCGGCGCCGUGGGACGGGCCGUCGUGGUAUUAGGUCGUUGGCGGGGUAAUGGCCCACCAAGCCUGUGAUGCCUACCGGGCGUGCGAGCGUGGCCCGGCACACUGGGACUGAGAUACUGCCCAGACUCCUACGGGAGGCUGCAGUCGAGAAUCUUCGGCAAUGGGCGCAAGCCUGACCGAGCGACGCCGCGUGGAGGAUGAAGGCCUUCGGGUUGUAAACUCCUGUCGAGGGGGAGGAAGGCCGGGUAACCGGCUUGACCGAUCCCUGGAGGAAGCACGGGCUAAGUUCGUGCCAGCAGCCGCGGUAAGACGAACCGUGCGAACGUUAUUCGGAAUCACUGGGCUUAAAGCGCGUGUAGGCGGAUGGGAACGUCGGUCGCUGAAAGCCCCCGGCUCAACCGGGGAACGGGCGCCGAAACGCCCCGUCUGGAGGGACGUAGGGGGACCUGGAACUUCCGGUGGAGCGGUGAAAUGCGUUGAGAUCGGAAGGAACGCCCGUGGCGAAAGCGAGGUCCUGGACGUCUUCUGACGCUGAGACGCGAAAGCUAGGGGAGCGAACGGGAUUAGAUACCCCGGUAGUCCUAGCCGUAAACGAUGGGCACUGGGUAGGGGGCUCGCCGAUGGGCUCCCUGCCGCAGCGAAAGCGUGAAGUGCCCCGCCUGGGGAGUAUGGUCGCAAGGCUGAACUCAAAGGA